This 253-nucleotide ribosomal RNA is filed under the name uncultured bacterium. RNAcentral describes it as "partial 16S ribosomal RNA". It matches the Rfam family "Bacterial small subunit ribosomal RNA", at positions 524 to 776 of the family's 1533-position model. The record is from RNAcentral.
UACGGAGGGUGCAAGCGUUAAUCGGAAUUACUGGGCGUAAAGCGCACGCAGGCGGUCUGUCAAGUCAGAUGUGAAAUCCCCGGGCUUAACCUGGGAACUGCAUUUGAAACUGGCAGGCUAGAGUCUUGUAGAGGGGGGUAGAAUUCCAGGUGUAGCGGUGAAAUGCGUAGAGAUCUGGAGGAAUACCGGUGGCGAAGGCGGCCCCCUGGACAAAGACUGACGCUCAGGUGCGAAAGCGUGGGGAGCAAACAGG